RNAcentral lists this ribosomal RNA (253 nucleotides) under uncultured bacterium. RNAcentral describes it as "partial 16S ribosomal RNA". It matches the Rfam family "Bacterial small subunit ribosomal RNA", at positions 524 to 776 of the family's 1533-position model. The record is from RNAcentral.
GACGAGCAUCACAAACGUUAUUCGGAAUUACUGGGCUUAAAGGGUGCGUAGGCGGUGUAGCAAGUCGGGAGUGAAAUCCCACAGCUCAACUGUGGAAUUGCUUUCGAUACUGCUGUGCUUGAGUGAGACAGAGGUAAGCGGAACUUAGGGUGGAGCGGUGAAAUGCGUUGAUAUCCUAAGGAACACCGGUGGCGAAGGCGGCUUACUGGGUCUCUACUGACGCUGAUGCACGAAAGCCAGGGUAGCGAACGGG